This 253-nucleotide ribosomal RNA is filed under the name uncultured bacterium. Its description in RNAcentral is "partial 16S ribosomal RNA". It matches the Rfam family "Bacterial small subunit ribosomal RNA", at positions 524 to 776 of the family's 1533-position model. The record is from RNAcentral.
UACGGAGGAUCCAAGCGUUAUCCGGAUUUAUUGGGUUUAAAGGGUGCGUAGGCGGCCUGUUAAGUCAGGGGUGAAAGACGGUAGCUCAACUAUCGCAGUGCCCUUGAUACUGAUGGGCUUGAAUGGACUAGAGGUAGGCGGAAUGUGACAAGUAGCGGUGAAAUGCAUAGAUAUGUCACAGAACACCGAUUGCGAAGGCAGCUUACUAUGGUCCUAUUGACGCUGAGGCACGAAAGCGUGGGGAUCAAACAGG